RNAcentral lists this non-coding RNA (27 nucleotides) under Bombyx mori (domestic silkworm). Lineage: Eukaryota; Metazoa; Arthropoda; Insecta; Lepidoptera; Bombycidae. The record is from RNAcentral.
UCAAGCGACACCAACGUUGAAUGCGGU